This 576-nucleotide long non-coding RNA is filed under the name Carica papaya (papaya). Its description in RNAcentral is "long non-coding RNA (CPAP_LNC009337)". Lineage: Eukaryota; Viridiplantae; Streptophyta; Magnoliopsida; Brassicales; Caricaceae. The record is from RNAcentral.
CGGGUUGCGCACGUGGGUUGCUGGCCAUGCGACUUGCCUGCUGCACAUAUGGGUUGUUGUGUACAUACGAGGGGCAUCUUUUACGCACUUACAUGUGCGUGGCGGGCAUGCGAGAUUAUUUAUCUGCGCGCGUCGCGUGCUUUCUCACACGGGUGGUAGACCCGCAUGUGCGAGUGGUCUUUCCCGCACAUGUGGCAGCCUGCACAUGUAAAGUAAGAGGAGUAUAUGUGCAGCACAUGUUGUGCAUGGAUCUCUUUUGGGCCUUGGCCCACUUUGGUCAUGAGGGCUUUUGGCCACCUUAGGUUGGGUCAUAAAGGGCUUUUAUUCUUACCUUAUAACCUCCCUAAGCCUAUGAGGCAUCAUUGGGGCUUUAAGUUUCAUUUGAACAAACUUGGCACACUCUUUGGAAUAGUCCUAUCUAGGAAAGUAUUCAGGGAUAGAAUUAUUUUUCUGUUUAGGGUAUUUCCAUUUAGGAAAUUUGAUUUUACUUUUAUGUUCAGGGUAUUCCUAUUUAAGAAAUUGGAAUUUACUUUCUCUUUUAGGCAUUCCUAUUCAAGAAACUGGGAUUUACUUUCU